This 253-nucleotide ribosomal RNA is filed under the name uncultured bacterium. RNAcentral describes it as "partial 16S ribosomal RNA". It matches the Rfam family "Bacterial small subunit ribosomal RNA", at positions 524 to 776 of the family's 1533-position model. The record is from RNAcentral.
UACAGAGGGGGCAAGCGUUAUUCGGAAUUAUUGGGCGUAAAGGGCGCGUAGGCGGCCUGGCAAGUGGAAGGUGAAAUCCCUCGGCUUAACCGAGGAACUGCCCUCCAAACUGCUUGGCUUGAGACCGGGAGAGGUGAGUGGAAUUCCCAAUGUAGCGGUGAAAUGCGUAGAGAUCGGGAAGAACAUCAGUGGCGAAGGCGGCCUGCUGGGCUGUUGCUGACGCUGAGGCGCGACAGCGUGGGGAGCAAACAGG